AUGUCUGUAGGAACGUGCUACAGAGCCCCGAAAAAGCAGAGCCCAGGAGGAGAAAACUGUCUAGGGCUCGGAGUCCGCCGUUUAGAAAGUCCUUCGGCAGAGCAGGGACUCCUGACUCUGGAUGCCUUGGUUUCCACAGCCCCGGGAGUAACUAUUUUGUGGUGUAAGCCAACCAUGGCUGCCCAGUCCCCCUGUCCCUGUGAGCAAGCCAGAAGUCUGCAGGUCACCCAAUUCCGACCAAGGAGACGUGUGGAGAAGGCACCUGGAGCAUUUCUGGAAAAUAUUUUCUUCCCUGAUAAGAAAAGUAAGUCUUGUGAAAACGUCCUUUUGCAUCUUCAUUCUUCCUGCUGUGGAUUCUGUUGCGGGAGAACUGGAUUUUGGAUGUGUGGUGUGUGUUGUUUGUUUGUUUUUUGUUUUUGGCGGAGUCUCGCUCUGUCAUCAGGCUGGAGUGCAGUGGCGCGAUCUCAGCUCACUGUAACCUCUGCCUCCUGGGUUCAAGCGAUUCUUCUGCCUCAGCCUCCCAAGUAGCUGGGAUUACAGGCACCUGCCACCACGCCCAGCUGAUUUUUGUAUUUUUAGUAGAGACGGGGUUUCACUGUGUUAGCCAGGAUGUUCUCAAUCUCCUGACCUUGUGAUCCGUCCACCUCGGCUCCCAAAGUGCUGGGAUUACAGGCAUGAGCCACCACGCCCAGCCAGAUGUGUAGAAUCUUUUGGAAACUGUGUGGGGGCCACAUUCUGACACGCUGGGGUGGCAGAGCAGGAGUGCAGAGGGAGUGGAGCUCUGUAAUCUGUCAGUCCCAGGAAUGCUUGCAGGGAGGUGGGGAGGCGGGGUGGUUUGUGCUGGUUUUAACAUCAGUGUUGGGUGCUUUGCUGGAAGCUUCUCAGGUCAUCGACUCUUAAGGCCUCCCUAUGCUAGGGCUCAACAUCUGGGCUUUCUCUGCACGUGGAAUGAUUCUGAGACCAUGUGAGACUUCACUAGCCACAGCUGUUUUAAAAAUAUUUGCACCUUAGAGGAAGCAGUAAAAAGAUGUGGCAAGAUCGACAUAAAUCCAUCCCUAUUUCAGGAAAAAUGGCUCAGUGCGCGCCCACUGCCGCUGUAUCUCAGGCUGCCUUCUCUAGAGGUGGGAAU
This 1129-nucleotide long non-coding RNA is filed under the name Macaca fascicularis (crab-eating macaque). RNAcentral describes it as "lncRNA (ENSMFAG00000061362.1)". Lineage: Eukaryota; Metazoa; Chordata; Mammalia; Primates; Cercopithecidae. The record is from RNAcentral.